UGAUAUCCUCAAAAUGUCUACCAAUAACUCCAAGACACAAGCUAACCAAGCUAAGAGGCUUUUUCUUCAUAUUCAUAAUAGCUAAUACAGAUGCUUGUAAAGAAGGGCUGUAAAUUUUAGCUUCUGAAUUAGGAUUCUUGUCAAACUUGACCAGAGAAUUCUAUACGACAGCGAUGAAUUCAAGGGAUUUUGCUUUGUCCAUCAACUGAUUGAAUUCAAAGGAGAAGCUGAUUCAGGUUCGACGCCGACGGGGUGAAUUGGG
RNAcentral lists this unclassified non-coding RNA (262 nucleotides) under Hevea brasiliensis (rubber tree). Lineage: Eukaryota; Viridiplantae; Streptophyta; Magnoliopsida; Malpighiales; Euphorbiaceae. The record is from RNAcentral.